Long non-coding RNA from Oncorhynchus keta (chum salmon), 844 nucleotides. RefSeq lists it as uncharacterized. The record is from RefSeq and is a predicted model, not a curated record. The transcript has 3 exons. Lineage: Eukaryota; Metazoa; Chordata; Actinopteri; Salmoniformes; Salmonidae.
AGAUGAGUUAUGGUAUUAUUGUACUGCUGGAGGGAGAGGUGAGUUAUGGUAUUAUUAUACUGAUAGAUGGAGGGAGAGGUGAGUUAUGGUAUUAUUAUACUGAUGAGGGAGAGAUGAGUUAUGGUAUUAUUAUACUGAUGAGGGAGAGGUGAGUUAUGGUAUUAUUAUACUGAUUAGGGAGAGAUGAGUUAUGGUAUUAUUGUACUGAUGAGGGAGAGAUGAGUUAUGGUAUUAUUAUACUGAUUAGGGAGAGAUGAGUUAUGGUAUUAUUGUACUGCUGGAGGGAGAGGUGAGUUAUGGUAUUAUUAUACUGAUAGAUGGAGGGAGAGGUGAGUUAUGGUAUUAUUAUACUGAUGAGGGAGAGAUGAGUUAUGGUAUUAUUAUACUGAUUAGGGAGAGAUGAGUUAUGGUAUUAUUGUACUGCUGGAGGGAGAGGUGAGUUAUGGUAUUAUUAUACUGAUGAGGGAGAGAUGAGUUAUGGUAUUAUUAUACUGAUUAGGGAGAGAUGAGUUAUGGUAUUAUUGUACUGCUGGAGGGAGAGGUGAGUUAUGGUAUUAUUAUACUGAUAGAUGGAGGGAGAGGUGAGUUAUGGUAUUAUUAUACUGAUGAGGGAGAGAUGAGUUAUGGUAUUAUUAUACUGAUGAGGGAGAGAUGAGUUAUGGUAUUAUUAUACUGAUUAGGGAGAGAUGAGUUAUGGUAUUAUUGUACUGCUGGAGGGAGAGGUGAGUUAUGGUAUUAUUAUACUGAUAGAUGGAGGGAGAGGUGAGUUAUGGUAUUAUUAUACUGAUGAGGGAGAGAUGAGUUAUGGUAUUAUUAUACUGAUUAGGGAGAGAUGAGUUAUGGU